GUGCCUGCUUUGACAGCACAUAUACUAAAAUUGGAAUGAUACAGAGAAGAUUAGCAAAACAAAAAAAUAUUACCAUAUUAUAAAUUAAAACUGUUUUU
Macaca fascicularis (crab-eating macaque) is the source of this 98-nucleotide small nuclear RNA. The record is from Ensembl. Lineage: Eukaryota; Metazoa; Chordata; Mammalia; Primates; Cercopithecidae.